Molecule: ribosomal RNA, 432 nt
Filed under: uncultured bacterium
Lineage: Bacteria
Description: partial 16S ribosomal RNA
Rfam family: Bacterial small subunit ribosomal RNA
Source: RNAcentral
AACGAACGCUGGCGGCAGGCUUAACACAUGCAAGUCGAACGCACCUUUCGGGGUGAGUGGCAGACGGGUGAGUAACGCGUGGGAAUCUACCCUUCUCUACGGGAUAGCUCCGGGAAACUGGAAUUAAUACCGUAUACGUCCUGAGGGAGAAAGAUUUAUCGGGGAAGGAUGAGCCCGCGUUGGAUUAGCUAGUUGGUGGGGUAAAGGCCUACCAAGGCGACGAUCCAUAGCUGGUCUAAGAGGAUGAUCAGCCACAUUGGACUGAGACACGGCCCAAACUCCUACGGGAGGCAGCAGUGGGGAAUAUUGGACAAUGGGCGCAAGCCUGAUCCAGCCAUGCCGCGUGAGUGAUGAAGGCCCUAGGGUUGUAAAGCUCUUUCAGUGGGGACGAUAAUGACGGUACCCACAGAAGAAGCCCCGGCUAACUUCGUG